This is a non-coding RNA of Vicia faba (fava bean), 264 nucleotides long. NCBI's taxonomy places the organism in Eukaryota, Viridiplantae, Streptophyta, Magnoliopsida, Fabales, Fabaceae. The record is from the annotation of a GenBank genome assembly.
AUGCCGGCCUAUUUAGGGGUCCACGGCCGUCUAAAUCGACAGAGACCUGUACCUCAUUCUCAGCACCCCUUACAGUCUCGGGCUAUUUCGCCCUUAGCUCGGCGUUCAUCUUUCCGGUCUAGCUCAACGACGAGCUCUUUAGAUGUUCAGUCUGUUCGGACGGAUAUGACGUUGCAUGUCAUCAUCAUGGGAACCUCAUCAUCGCUGGUAUCCUCGGGUCCCGACAGAUAUCCGUCUGCAGGCUUAGAGCUUUGCCACCAAUGA